Molecule: transfer RNA, 72 nt
Filed under: Bos taurus (domestic cattle)
Lineage: Eukaryota; Metazoa; Chordata; Mammalia; Artiodactyla; Bovidae
Also listed under: 1 other name
Rfam family: tRNA
About the family: Transfer RNA (tRNA) molecules are approximately 80 nucleotides in length. Their secondary structure includes four short double-helical elements and three loops (D, anti-codon, and T loops).
Source: Rfam by way of RNAcentral
UCCCUUGUGGCUCAGCUGGUAAAGAAUCCGUCUGCAAUGCAGGAGACCUGGGUUCAAUCCCUGGCUUGGGAA